This 651-nucleotide small RNA is filed under the name Arabidopsis thaliana (thale cress). Its description in RNAcentral is "ATSL027010". Lineage: Eukaryota; Viridiplantae; Streptophyta; Magnoliopsida; Brassicales; Brassicaceae. The record is from RNAcentral.
AAUUUUAUGUCCAUAACGUCUUUAAUAUUUUAAAAAAUCAUGAAUGUUAUCAGCCAAACAUCUAAUUCUUUUUAUUGGAUAUUUUUUUUUUGUGUGGGAAGGGGAGUCAAAAAACUCCCCCCAAUUUAUUAAGAACUAAAUAAAAGGAAAUAACAAACGAAUAGUACGAGGGACACCAGGCCCAUUAACAUCCUCGAACAUGAUCGAAAGAACAGAUUCGGGACAAACAUCAAGAGAAAGAAAACCAAAAUCUAAAGAGAACGCAUAGUUUGCUAAUCCAUCGGCAAGACGAUUAGCUUCCUAUACACAUGAGUAACCCGGACUAACCAGUCCCGUGAGAUAAAGUCAUGGCACAAACGUACCAGGAAAGACAGCGGAUGCAUUCCAGUCACCCAUGUUUGUAAGAACCCCACAACCAACUUAGAAUCCACCUCCAGCUCCACCCGUCGAAAGCCUCUCUCCCAGGCUAUGACUAAACCAUAGUACACUCCCCAUAACUCCGCCAUGGGAACCGAACAGAUGCCUAUGUUCAACGCAAACCCACCUAACCACUCACCUUCUUCUCUUUUUAUUGGGUAUUUAACAUUGUAUUUAGAAUCUCUUUACUGGAGCGUUUGUCGUUUUCUUUAGGGAAUGCCAACAAAAUAAUAU